This 352-nucleotide unclassified non-coding RNA is filed under the name soil metagenome. RNAcentral's name for it is "partial contains 5.8S ribosomal RNA, internal transcribed spacer 2, and large subunit ribosomal RNA". The stretch from base 1 to 120 matches the Rfam family "5.8S ribosomal RNA", at positions 35 to 154 of the family's 154-position model. The record is from RNAcentral.
GAUGAAGAACGCAGCGAAAUGCGAUAAGUAAUGUGAAUUGCAGAAUUCAGUGAAUCAUCGAAUCUUUGAACGCACAUUGCGCCCGCCAGUAUUCUGGCGGGCAUGCCUGUUCGAGCGUCAUUACAACCCUCAGGCCCCCGGGCCUGGCGUUGGGGAUCGGCGGAGCCCCCCGUGGGCACACGCCGUCCCCCAAAUGCAGUGGCGGUCCCGCCGCAGCUUCCAUCGCGUAGUAGCUAACACCUCGCGACUGGAGAGCGGCGCGGCCACGCCGUAAAACACCCAACUCUUCUGAAGUUGACCUCGAAUCAGGUAGGAAUACCCGCUGAACUUAAGAAUAUCAAUAAGCGGAGGA